GGGAGGGGUGCAAGCGUUAAUCGGAAUUACUGGGCGUAAAGCGCACGCAGGCGGUCUGUCAAGUCGGGAUGUGAAAUCCCCGGGCUCAACCUGGGAACUGCAUCCCGAAACUGGCAGGCUAGAGUCUUGUAGAGGGGGGUAGAAUUCCAGGUGUAGCGGUGAAAUGCGUAGAGAUCUGGAGGAAUACCGGUGGCGAAGGCGGCCCCCUGGACAAAGACUGACGCUCAGGUGCGAAAGCGUGGGGAGCAAACAGGAUUAGAUACCCUGGUAGUCCACGCCGUAAACGAUGUCGACUUGGAGGUUGUGCCCUUGAGGCGUGGCUUCCGGAGCUAACGCGUUAAGUCGACCGCCUGGGGAGUACGGCCGCAAGGUUA
This 374-nucleotide ribosomal RNA is filed under the name uncultured organism. RNAcentral's name for it is "partial 16S ribosomal RNA". It matches the Rfam family "Bacterial small subunit ribosomal RNA", at positions 525 to 896 of the family's 1533-position model. The record is from RNAcentral.